Molecule: ribosomal RNA, 446 nt
Filed under: uncultured bacterium
Lineage: Bacteria
Description: bacterial SSU rRNA
Rfam family: Bacterial small subunit ribosomal RNA
Source: RNAcentral
UGCCAGACUCCUACGGGAGGCAGCAGUGGGGAAUAUUGCACAAUGGGCGAAAGCCUGAUGCAGCGACGCCGCGUGAGUGAAGAAGUAUUUCGGUAUGUAAAGCUCUAUCAGCAGGGACGAAAAUGACGGUACCUGACCAAGAAGCCCCGGCUAACUACGUGCCAGCAGCCGCGGUAAUACGUAGGGGGCAAGCGUUAUCCGGAUUUACUGGGUGUAAAGGGAGCGUAGACGGUUGCGCAAGUCUGGAGUGAAAGGCGGGGGCCCAACCCCCGGACUGCUCUGGAAACUGUGUAACUGGAGUGCAGGAGAGGUAAGUGGAAUUCCUAGUGUAGCGGUGAAAUGCGUAGAUAUUAGGAGGAACACCAGUGGCGAAAGCGGCUUACUGGACUGUAACUGACGUUGAGGCUCGAAGGCGUGGGGAGCAAACAGGAUUAGAUACCCCAGUA